This is a non-coding RNA of Lacerta agilis (Sand lizard), 72 nucleotides long. The record is from the annotation of a RefSeq genome assembly. Lineage: Eukaryota; Metazoa; Chordata; Lepidosauria; Squamata; Lacertidae.
AGAGUUGUGGCUCAGUGGCAGAGUAUCUGCUUUGCACACAGAAGACCCCAGGUUCAAUCCCUGGCAUCUCUG